AAAAAAUUGAAUCUUCAACCUCAACUUAGCCCCCUUUAACUUAUCGUCAUUUCAUUUUUUCCUGUUAUCAAUUAAUUAAUAUUCAUUUUCGUUUGUUCUUUCAUAAUCUUCGUUUGUUCGAUCAUAAUUAACGUCUUAUCGCCUUUUAUUAUCAAUUUUGAUUAAUUAACAUCUCAUUACCAGUGUAGCUAUGUCGCGCAUGCGCAUUAAUACUUCAGACGCAGUGGGAUUUCCUUCCAGAUGCCCGGGAACACUUAAAUUUAAGAUUUAUUACAAAAAAAAAGUGAAUAUCCAAUCAAACAAAAUAUGAACUUUUAAUUGUACUUGUCGUUAUGAAAUUUAUAUAAAAUAAUCUAUAUUGAUAUUGUGAAAAAUCUUAAUAUACAGCAUCAAUCUGAAUACGUACGUCUCUGCAUUCAACGUGAGUGCAUAUAGAUUGUAUUUAUUUGUGAAAAUUUUAUGUCUGCAAAUUUUUGAUUGUGUAUGUGAAGAUUUCCUGUGCGUGCAUAUUUAUAUACGUUAAGUGAUUUCAAUUAAAGAGUAUAUACAAUCACAGACUUAAGGUUAAAUGUGCAUAAGUCUGAGGAAAAGUUAAAUUGGAGCACUUGCUAGUACUCUAGCUAAGUAUACUAUUUACGGAUACUACUGGUUAUAAGAUGUUAUAGGGUAGCUAGGACGAAUUCUGGGACAUAUUCACUAAGAUGAAAUUGAAGUUUUUGGUGGACUCUGGCUGAGGAUACUAUUUUUACAAAGACUGCUGGUUAUAAAGUAUUUACUAGUUAUGGUGAUUAUUAUCUGGGCAAAUCUGCUCGAGGCUGAUUGGAUGUUAAAUUGGAGCAUUACGUUGGAUCCCGGCUGAGGACCUUCUCUUCAUUGCGAGUACUGGCCAUUAAUUUAUGGAUGUACAGGCUACUUAAAAAAUUUCCCAAUGAAAUUUUCACGAAUUUAAUGAAGAAUUUAAUUGGAAUACUCCAAGAGACUACGACUCAGGAUUUUGUUCGAUUUUCUCUGUUGGUAAUCGUACAUUUCUCCAUUAUGAUUUCAUUUUCCAAUAUAUUAAUUAAACAAAUUCUGUGAAUUCGUAUUAAAACAAAACAAAAACAAAUAUAAAUCAAUUCGUACCUUUAGUAACAAUGAAGACUUUGUCCCUUGUUAAUAAAAAAAAAAAGUAACAAUUACGAUCGAGAAUUUCAGUUGUUUUUAGUGUUCACUUCAUUUAUUCAUUCGUCACCGGUUACCAUCGCAUCAUCACUUGCCACUAUGAUCUCUCCAAACAAAUGGACUUUCAAUGAAGAAUAUGCAAUGGUUCGUUCUCGUCUCCUGGAACAUGGGACGGAUUAUAAGUUUAAUCGUUUACGAGACGAUGACCUUGGCAUAUGGGAAAUUAUUUCUCAAGAACCAAUUCUCGUAAACGGAAAAAAAGACGCUACGAUGUGCCGGGACCGGUUCUUCGACAUCAUUUAUGAUUUUUUGGUUUAUUUUAACAUGUCAGACAGGCAACGAAUGUCGGUGAACUUGCCUGCACAUUACAUGCUUUUUCAAUAUUACCUCACUCAAUGUGAUGCAGUUUUUUAGAAAAAUUGGGCUGAGUAAAAAUUAAAAGUGAUCUUCAAAAUGAAAAUGAAUAAAAUUUUUUUGGAUUCUCAACAAAUUAA
This is an RNA transcript of Microplitis demolitor, 1655 nucleotides long. RefSeq lists it as uncharacterized. NCBI's taxonomy places the organism in Eukaryota, Metazoa, Arthropoda, Insecta, Hymenoptera, Braconidae. The record is from RefSeq and is a predicted model, not a curated record. The transcript is spliced from 9 exons.